This 88-nucleotide transfer RNA is filed under the name Pseudobacteroides cellulosolvens ATCC 35603 = DSM 2933. RNAcentral's name for it is "tRNA-Ser". Lineage: Bacteria; Bacillati; Bacillota; Clostridia; Eubacteriales; Oscillospiraceae. The record is from RNAcentral.
GGAAGGUUGUCCGAGUUGGUUUAAGGUAGUUGUUUGCUAAACAACCGGGUAAUAUGCCCCACAGGUUCGAAUCCCUCUGGCUCCACUA